This 86-nucleotide transfer RNA is filed under the name Candidatus Doudnaibacteriota bacterium. RNAcentral describes it as "Candidatus Doudnabacteria bacterium tRNA-Leu". It matches the Rfam family "tRNA". Rfam says of the family: Transfer RNA (tRNA) molecules are approximately 80 nucleotides in length. Their secondary structure includes four short double-helical elements and three loops (D, anti-codon, and T loops). Further hydrogen bonds mediate the characteristic L-shaped molecular structure. tRNAs have two regions of fundamental functional importance: the anti-codon, which is responsible for specific mRNA codon recognition, and the 3' end, to which the tRNAs corresponding amino acid is attached (by aminoacyl-tRNA synthetases). tRNAs cope with the degeneracy of the genetic code in two manners: having more than one tRNA (with a specific anti-codon) for a particular amino acid; and 'wobble' base-pairing, i.e. permitting non-standard base-pairing at the 3rd anti-codon position. Lineage: Bacteria; Candidatus Doudnaibacteriota. The record is from RNAcentral.
GGGCGAGUGGCGGAAUGGCAGACGCGCACGCUUCAGGAGCGUGUGGGAUUAUUCCCGUGGAGGUUCGACUCCUCUCUCGCCCACCA